Molecule: ribosomal RNA, 507 nt
Filed under: uncultured bacterium
Lineage: Bacteria
Description: partial 16S ribosomal RNA
Rfam family: Bacterial small subunit ribosomal RNA
Source: RNAcentral
ACGAACGCUGGCGGCGUGCCUAAUACAUGCAAGUCGCACGCUUCUUUCCUCCCGAGUGCUUGCACUCACUUGGAAAGAGGAGUGGCGGACGGGUGAGUAACACGUGGGUAACCUACCCAUCAGAGGGGGAUAACACUUGGAAACAGGUGCUAAUACCGCAUAACAGUUUAUGCCGCAUGGCAUAAGAGUGAAAGGCGCUUUCGGGUGUCGCUGAUGGAUGGACCCGCGGUGCAUUAGCUAGUUGGUGAGGUAACGGCUCACCAAGGCCACGAUGCAUAGCCGACCUGAGAGGGUGAUCGGCCACACUGGGACUGAGACACGGCCCAGACUCCUACGGGAGGCAGCAGUAGGGAAUCUUCGGCAAUGGACGAAAGUCUGACCGAGCAACGCCGCGUGAGUGAAGAAGGUGUUCGGAUCGUAAAACUCUGUUGUUAGAGAAGAACAAGGACGUUAGUAACUGAACGUCCCCUGACGGUAUCUAACCAGAAAGCCACGGCUAACUACGUG